This is a non-coding RNA of Camelina sativa (false flax), 462 nucleotides long. The record is from RefSeq and is a predicted model, not a curated record. NCBI's taxonomy places the organism in Eukaryota, Viridiplantae, Streptophyta, Magnoliopsida, Brassicales, Brassicaceae.
CUUUUGUACUGAUUAUUAGGGUUCUGGGUUAAAGUUCUCCUUUACGAGAGGACAACAGUGUUGGGUUAUUGGUGUUGAUGGAUUCGACACCUCCCUUCCUGCGGAUGAAAUCAAGAAGGCGUUGAAGGAUCACUUCCGUUCAUGUGGAGUAAUCCUUAAAGUUGAAUUGCCCGGACUCACCAGUCCUGCUUCUGUUAUUAUCGUCGGAGAUGACGCAAAUGACAAGGCCUUGGAACUUAACGGAAGUGAAGUGGGAGGACGGAAGCUAGUUGUUACUGCUGAGGUUUGGCCAAUGGUGAAAAUAUCGGAUGGUCCUCUUUCUUUCGGCGCGGCUAAUCAGAUGACGGAGGACUAGAAAGCUUCUUAGACGAAGCUCAGAAUCUCUGCUCUUUGGUGUUUUCAGAUCGUGUGAUACAAUGCAUAAAAUAAUCGUCAAACGCACAUAUAUAUAUUUUGCAUAUA